CCCAACUCCAAAGGAGAGGGGGAUAUACUGUUUUACCCUUGUGUGUCUGUGGCUUGAAAUAAUAAGGAGGCUUGAUGGUCAACAAUUUAACCAUCAGAUCUACCUUAGAUUUUAAGAUAGGUUUUGUUUACCUAAAAAAAAAACCCAACUAUUUCUUAGUAAAGAAAAAAUCCACGAAUUUUACCUUUCAAAUUCGGGUAUUUCCUGUAUUUUAUUAAAAGUUCUUCUUUUAAGGAAGAUCAAUGCAGUCUUAAAGUGCUAGAAAAUCGAACCCUCUUAAAUGUCAACCUGGUUUAUUUUGUAUAUUGAAAAAGUGGUUAUUUUUGUCGUAGAGGAAAGAAAUUGGGCACACGAGAUUAUAAGUUUGCAGGAAUCAUCAACACAAAUUAAUUGUGAUUUAAAUGUGUAUAUUUACACUUGCAAAUAUUUUCCCUUAUAUAUAUCGUGGUCACUAUUUUUUUUAGGCGCAUCGCUAUCAGCGAUGUAGCCUCAUUGCAUUCAGCUCAUUUCUCUCGGCUUAUAUACAAGCGGCGUCAUAGAAUUUAAGUAUCAAUGAGCCAAUGAAUAUAUAGUGCCGUUCUGAUUGUUACGUAUUUUCAACCAGGAACAUAAAUUCAGUAUUCGUUUUAAAAAUAUCAACAAAUCAUUACAGCAGAUAUCUCCUUUACACAUUGAAAAAGACAUCAACAUCAACGAAAGAACAAAACAAAGAUUAAUACACAGAUGAGGUAGACUGGCAAUGCCUGCAAUGCGAGAUGUACGUACAAUAGGGACAGGGGACCAGUGAACGGAUGAGAUAAUUUGCAUAACAACAGUUCGUACUUCAAUUUAAAAGCGAUGACGUUAAUUGUUCGAAUAUCGGAAGUAAAAAAAAUGUAAUAAAUUAGUAUAUAAAAUAUUUAUAUUGAAAUGAGAGUAAGUGGCUGUCUUCUUAUAGCUAGGAACAGAUUUUGUAUUUUAUCACUUGAUAAAUCGAAUAAGACAAUGUCCAACUGAAUGAGGAAAAGCACGCCACCUUCCCCAUGUAGAAUGGCGAUAUUUAACAACUUGUAGUGAUGUUUUUAGCUACCUUCAAUGCGAUGCAUCGCCCAGGCCUUCAGGCCGUUGAUUUAUAUUUUAAAACUAACUGACUUACGCUAAAACGCUUAAUAUUGUAAUGAACGAACAAUUGAAAUAUAAAGAAAAAAAACCUUUCAUAUCUGUAUUUUAUUAUACAAAGUUUUAUUCAUUCAUUUUUAGCUCACCUGAACCGAAGGUUCAAGUGAGAUUAUCUGAUCACCCAUUGUCUGUUGUCAAUCCGUCCGUCCAACUUUUCACAUUUUCGACUUCUUCUCAAAAACCACUGGGCCAAAUUUGGUACAAAUCAUUCUUAUGGAAAGGGGAUUGUUAAAAUAAAGGGCACAGCCCUUUUUAAAAGGGAGAUAAUUGCGAAACAGUGAGUAUAGGGUGCGUGUCUUAAGAAAUCUUCUUUUCAAGAACCACUGCACCAGAAAUGCCAACAUUAACACAAAAGUUUGUAUAUAUAGAGAAGAUUCUAAAUUGUAAAAAUUGUGACACUUCGUACCAAAGCCCCAGGCUGGGUUUAAAUUUUAACAUUGAAAUUCAUAGGAAAAAUGUUUACAUGAUUUUUGUUCCAUUUAUUCAACUAAAUUGUGCACCUAAAAACGCAACUGUGUCUCCCUGAUUAUUGACAACAUUGCAUAAGUAUAUAAGGUUGUUUAAUCAAGAAAUGAUGGAUGAAAACGAUAAAGUGUAAAAAUUCGCUAAAUAUUAUUUUAGUUUAUCGCUUACAUUUUAUUUGGAUAUUGUGCCGGAUAAAAAUAAAAAUAAAUAUGUAAAUUUAUUUGUUAUUGGGCACGGUCUCCAAAAUAAAUGUAAGCAAUAAAUUUAUCUUAUGAUUUUGUAGCAAUAUUGAAGCUAGUUUGGUUGAGCAUUAUAGAUACGGCAGAUCAACGCAGGUGUUGUGGAUUUAUUUGCAAACAACCAUACCACAGAUAAUCUUGUUUCACAUCGGAAUUAAAUUUAAAGUUUAAAAGUAUGUUUUAUUAUAAUUAGGGAAAUACUGUUUAUGUGUUACCCUCGUAUACAAAUGAUGAACUCGUAAAAUUUGUUCAAAGACUGUUUAAAGCAGAAAGAAGAUAAUUUAUUUUUGAACAUCGAAAUUUCUUCGAUUUUUAUAACCAGGAUGAGUUAUGAUUCAUUGUAUUAUAAAUGCAUCACUACGUAAUUUAUAAGGAAAUAUACUGAGUAAACAAGCACAUGGUGAUGUUAAAAUUUCAUAUAAAAAUAUAGUUGCAUAUUGUGGUAUUUAUGGACUUGUUGUACGUACGACCUAACUCGGACAACGCGUGCAGGGAUCUCUAUCUCGUGGGCUCCCUGGUCGAGGACGGGUGUGUCCUGGUGCAUGGCGAGGGCUAUUGUGAACUCUUGUUGAUGAACUGAUGUUUCAUGUGUAUUUGUAUGUUGUCUACUUGGCAAUACAUACUAUAAUAUGUACAAGUUUAGUUACACAAAACAUUUUUAUUCUGAUAUUUGAUAAACGACUAUUGGUACAGAAUUUUAAAUUAAUGAUACCUAUAAUAAAGAAAUAGUCAGCUCGAGGCCUUUGUGGGCGUUCCGGCCUUUGAUAUGUAAAGUGAUCAUUCUAAAUUGUAGAAAUCGUGACCCUCGGACCAAAACUGGAGUCCCAGGUGGGGUUCAAAGUUUAACAUAGAAUUACAUCGGAAAAAUGUUUAAAAAUUUUCUUCUAAAGAACUACUGCACCAAAAAUGCCAAAAUUUAUACAAAAGGUUGUAUAUAUAGUGAAGAUUAUAAAUUAUAAUCAAAGUACUGAAGUAGUGAAGGGAGUUGAUUUUAUCGAUUAUUAUUUAUUUUGAAAUCAACAAUAUGUUAUUUUGCUUGGCAAGUAGUUUAUAAUCUGCACACUUUAUUUAUAUGAAUAUGAAUUCUCGGACUUUUCUGACAAGAAUUUCGAGAAAAUGUAAACAGCUUAUGAAUCAUGUUGUGUAAUAUUUAAAAAUAGAAUUGAUAUCAUCAAACUAUGUAUCAGUAAUUGAAAUAUUGAAAAAAUUGUAUUGAUCCAUGCAAUAAUGAACUCUAGUCUCGUUCAACCAGAUGUUCAGCUGUCUCUGUUAAUCUCCGAUAAGCAAGAGCUGAAUUUCUGCUUGUCUGGGAUUUACGGAGACAGCCGAUGGUUGAACACUGCGGCGUAGGAAUACAUACGACUGCAAAAAAUAUCUUACUUGUUCGUACUAUUUAAAAUCUGGCUAUUUUUAAGGUUUUCAUAAAUUUCAUUAAAAAAUGCUUCAGUAUACAUUGCAUCGAAUUUAUCGAUUAUUUUCAAGAACUAAGUCUUUUCAGCGGUGAUGAUUUGUGCCUAGGUCCAAACACUGUUUCAGCUUCGGUUUGCCAGAGUAACUGCAUAGGAGAGUUGAUUAAAAAUCAACUCCCAAAAAUCAUGACCCCCCCAACAAAAAGUGGGGCUCCAGGAGGGGUUUAAAGUUUAACAUAUAUAGGAAAAUGUUUAAAAAUCUUCUUCUCAAGAACUAUAAUGCAACAGUUUGGGAUAUUACUAUGCAUACAUUUACAUCCUUAAAUAAUGUAGAUUCUGAUUUGUAAAAAUCGUGACUCCCAGACAAAUACUGGGGCAUUGGAUUUGAUCACGCCCCGACCAAAAUUAUCACCUCAUAAUACUCAAAGAAAGAUUCCUUAUUCUUUAUAUAAAGCCAGUGUUGCUCAGGUGAGCGAGGUGGCCCUUUGGGCCUCUUGUUACAUUAAAUAUCAUUCAUUGCGGGGUUAAAUGAUCAUGGCUUACGAUUCUCGCAGAAGAUCAUGUUUAUAGAUCGACAUCGAACAAAGCGUUCUUGGAAAAUUACAAUCGCAAUUUUUCAAAGUAGUUAAUAUCAGUCAUUUCUGACAUUUAUAACAGGUCUCGAUCAAAAUGGCAAACGCAAUAUCACCGACCUUAUCAUGGUUACAUUUAACUCCUGUUGCUUCUCUGUCCAUUUCCUUCCGUAAAAGAAAUUAGAAUAGCUUGUCUCUAUAAUGUCCAAAGAAAAUCAUUAUGCUGCAAUAGAAUUUCUCUGAAAAUGCCUAAGUAGACUCUAACUCAGCUUUCAAUCGCUUUGUUUACAAAUUUCCAACUGCUCUGUUACUAUUCCGCCAAGCUUAAUCCGUUUUUUUUUUUUAAUUGAACAGCGAAUUUUCUAUACUGUUUCACUAUAUUAUCAUAAAAAAGUGUUGUUUUGUAAAACGCAGUGUCAUAUUUAUUUAUUAUGAUAAUCAAUACAUGCAACAUAUUGUUGAACUAUAUUUUGUUAUGUCAUGUUAAUCGAAGCGGUUUUCUAGGUCAUCACAAAAAAAGAAUGUAUGGAGCAAUGUUAUCGUCAUAAUUUGCAACAAAUGUACCGUAUUUUUCGAAAAUUAGGUCGAUCCUGUUAAUUGGGCAAAGGAACCUGUUUUUAGCAAAAAACAAAUUAAAAAGUAUAAAUAGGUCAACUUUGAAGAAUUGGUCUAAGAAUAAACGCUAGUUUGAAUGAAUAAAGGGUUUGAACCAAUAACGUUAUUAUAUAGUAGCCUUUAAUCUUUAACAAAAAGUUUGAAAUUGCAUCAAAAUUUUCAAACCAAUUUACCGGGUAUUCAGUACGGCCGGAUUAAUUUAAGAUCAUUGGUCUAUUACUUCCCUGCCAUAUGUACAAAUUGGUGUUAAUCGGGAGAUAGUAACCUAGCCUGGAGGCAUGAGUACGGUAGCACAUGCAACCCUGUGUCUCUGUAUGAAUUUUUAAUGUGUAUAUACACACAAGUCAACCUCUGAUCUUAUCGAAGCCUGUGGGCAUGAGUACCAAGUGCAUCCAAAAAUGAUACCUUGUUUCUUAAAUAACUUGGAAAGGUUAUGUACAGCUAGGUUUGAGCAAAAAUUGAUUAGAGUUGAAGUACAUGUCUAUUCGGCUAUUGAAAAAACUCGCAAGCUUUCUCAAAAUGGCAAUGAGAGGUAAACUAAUAAAUAGUUAUAUUUGAAAUUUUAAAGCAAACAUAUUUUAAAUCUAUAUCGUAGAUCUUAAUAAACUAGUCAUAAGAACAGAAAAUAGUGUUCAUACGGCAGAAUUCAAUAAGGCCAGCAUUUUUUUAUUUUUAGAUUUACGAAAUAUUUUUCAAAUUAUUUGGGUAGGAGGAGGGAAAAAAAAUAAAAAUAAAAUUGAAAAAUUUGUCCGUCGAGAAAAAAAAUAAAAAUAAAACAAUUUUUCAACAAUAUUUUUUUUAUUUUUAAAAUAAGAACACAUGUCCAGGAGCUGCCAUUUUUUAAAUAUAUAAGUAAUUUUGGUUGUUGAUGAUGUUCUUAUCAUAA
Long non-coding RNA from Magallana angulata, 5344 nucleotides. RefSeq lists it as uncharacterized. The record is from RefSeq and is a predicted model, not a curated record. NCBI's taxonomy places the organism in Eukaryota, Metazoa, Mollusca, Bivalvia, Ostreida, Ostreidae. The transcript is spliced from 2 exons.